CACUCCUGCGGGAGGCAGCAGUGGGGAAUUUUGGACAAUGGGCGAAAGCCUGAUCCAGCAAUGCCGCGUGCAGGAUGAAGGCCUUCGGGUUGUAAACUGCUUUUGUACGGAACGAAAAAGCUCCUUCUAAUACAGGGGGCCCAUGACGGUACCGUAAGAAUAAGCACCGGCUAACUACGUGCCAGCAGCCGCGGUAAUACGUAGGGUGCGAGCGUUAAUCGGAAUUACUGGGCGUAAAGCGUGCGCAGGCGGUUAUGUAAGACAGAUGUGAAAUCCCCGGGCUCAACCUGGGAACUGCAUUUGUGACUGCAUGGCUAGAGUACGGUAGAGGGGGAUGGAAUUCCGCGUGUAGCAGUGAAAUGCGUAGAUAUGCGGAGGAACACCGAUGGCGAAGGCAAUCCCCUGGACCUGUACUGACGCUCAUGCACGAAAGCGUGGGGAGCAAACAGGAUUAGAAACCCGGGUAGUCCCAUGA
RNAcentral lists this ribosomal RNA (475 nucleotides) under uncultured organism. RNAcentral's name for it is "partial 16S ribosomal RNA". It matches the Rfam family "Bacterial small subunit ribosomal RNA", at positions 334 to 800 of the family's 1533-position model. The record is from RNAcentral.